UAGGGUGACCGCGAUCGAGGUUCUCCGGGUUGCUCCCGGAGCUAAGAGGGAAUUCGGUGAGGCGUAUUCCGCCAAAGCCGAGGCUGCCCCCGCAACUGUAAGCGGCGAGCUCUCCGUCCAUCGUCCACUGGCGCUGAUCGCGCCGGGAAGGCCGGGCGGAACCGGCAUCGACCCGCGAGCCAGGAGACCUGCCCCGGUCGUCGAAGACGUC
This 211-nucleotide non-coding RNA is filed under the name Allobosea sp. EC-HK365B. Lineage: Bacteria; Pseudomonadati; Pseudomonadota; Alphaproteobacteria; Hyphomicrobiales; Alloboseaceae. RNAcentral also lists the same sequence under 7 other names. The record is from RNAcentral.